RNAcentral lists this ribosomal RNA (498 nucleotides) under uncultured bacterium. Its description in RNAcentral is "partial 16S ribosomal RNA". It matches the Rfam family "Bacterial small subunit ribosomal RNA", at positions 28 to 523 of the family's 1533-position model. The record is from RNAcentral.
GACGAAUGCUAGCGGCAGGCCUAAUACAUGCAAGUCGAACGCGAUUAAGGUGCUUGCACCUUAUGAAAGUGGCGCACGGGUGCGUAACGCGUAUGCAACCUACCUUUAUCAGGGGGAUAGCCCGGAGAAAUCCGGAUUAAUGCCGCAUAAAAUCACAGGAUAGCAUUUUCCAAUGAUCAAACAUUUAUGGGAUAGAGAUGGGCAUGCGUGUCAUUAGCUAGUUGGCGGGGUAACGGCCCACCAAGGCGACGAUGACUAGGGGAGCGGAGAGGAUGGCCCCCCACACUGGUACUGAGACACGGACCAGACUCCUACGGGAGGCAGCAGUAAGGAAUAUUGGUCAAUGGAGGGAACUCUGAACCAGCCAUGCCGCGUGCAGGAAGACUGCCCUAUGGGUUGUAAACUGCUUUUAUCCAGGAAUAAACCUACUUACGUGUAAGUAGCUGAAUGUACCGGAAGAAUAAGGAUCGGCUAACUCCGUGCCAGCCGCCGCAGUAA